GAGGGMAAGYCUGGUGCCAGCAGCCGCGGUAAUUCCAGCUCCAGUAGCGUAUAUUAAAGUUGUUGCAGUUAAAAAGCUCGUAGUUGGAGUUGUUGUGUUGAAUGAUUGGUUUGUUUGUUUGUCGGUUGUUUGAGUUUUUUUGCUUGAGCGAUUUGAUGAAUGCUUACCGCAACACAAUCCUUGAUGUUAUGUAUGAGUAUUUUUUACUUUGUUCAGAGCAUCAUCCUUUACUUUGAAAAAAUUGGAGUGAUUCAAGCAGGCGAAAUUUCAUAUUAAAAUCUUUUUUUAAUAUACAUUCAUUUUUGCUUCUGCACAUGUUAGCAUGGAAUAAUGCAAGAGGACUUGGGUUUUCUCUUUCAUUGGUUUCAGGAAUCCGAGUAAUGAUUGAUAGGGACAGUUGGGGGUGCUCGUACUCGACGGCCAGAGGUGAAAUUCUUGGAUUCGUUGAAGACGAACAACUGCGAAAGCAUUCACCAAGGAUGUCUUCUUUAAUCAAGAACGAAAGUUGGGGGAUCGAAGAUGAUCAGAUACCGUCGUAGUCCCAACCAUAAACGAUGCCGACCAGGGAUCAGCGAGCGUUGACUUUGUAUAAAAAUGAUUUCGGUUAUUUUUAUUACAAACCUCAUUAAUUUGAAACGACCUCGUUGGCACCUUGCGAGAAAUCACCAGUCUUUGGGCUCCGGGGGGAGUAUGGUCGCAAGGCUGAAACUUAAAGGAAUUGACGGAAGGGCACAACCAGCAGUGGAGCCUGUGGUUUAAAUUGACUCAACACGGGAAAACUUACCAGGUCCAGACAUCAUAAGGAUUGACAGAUUGAAGAUCUUUCUUGAUUUGAUGGUUGGUGGUGCAUGGCCGUUCUUAGUUGGUGGAGUGAUUUGUCUGGUUAAUUCCGUUAACGAACGAGACCUCAACCUGCCAAAUAGGUUGUUUCUUUGUUGAAAUUUGUUUGAUGAAGAUGGGUGUUUGUUUUUUCUGACUCGGCUUUUUUGUUGAUGUUGGAGAGCGCAUCCAGAGCCAAAUGGAAUUUGUUUUCUGUUUGAUUCUGCAACACUUCUUGGAGGGACUAUCAGUUCGCAUCUGAUGGAGGUUUGAGGCAAUAACAGGUCUGUGAUGCCCUUCGAUGUCCUGGGCUACACGCGCGCUACACUGAUACAUGCAUCAAGCAGUUCAUUAUUUUAUAAGUUGGUUCAAUUGAUUUUGAAUUUGACUUUGACACCUUUGCUGAUAAGCUUGGGGAAUCUUUGAACUUGUAUCGUGAUGGGGAUAGAUGAUUGCAAUUAUUCAUCUUCAACGAGGAAUUCCUAGUAAACGCGGCUCAUCAAGCCGCAUUGAAUACGUCCCUGCCCUUUGUACACACCGCCCGUCGCUGCUACCGAUUGAAUGGUUCAGCAAGUUUUACGGGCUGGCGUCUUAUUUGAUUUUACGAUUGAAUGAGUUUUGGAUUUUUGAUAUUCGUAUUGAUUCCAUGUUUUUGCCGGGAAGUGACGCAAACUUGACCAUUUAGAGGAAGCAAAAGUCGUAACAAGG
Molecule: ribosomal RNA, 1527 nt
Filed under: Reticulamoeba sp. (lineage 3)
Lineage: Eukaryota; Cercozoa
Description: bacterial SSU rRNA
Rfam family: Eukaryotic small subunit ribosomal RNA
Source: RNAcentral